Molecule: ribosomal RNA, 254 nt
Filed under: uncultured bacterium
Lineage: Bacteria
Description: partial 16S ribosomal RNA
Rfam family: Bacterial small subunit ribosomal RNA
Source: RNAcentral
UACGUAGGGUGCGAGCGUUGUCCGGAAUUAUUGGGCGUAAAGAGCUCGUAGGCGGUGUGUCACGUCGUUCGUGAAAACCUGCAGCUUAACUGUGGGCGUGCGGUCGAUACGGGCAUCACUGGAGUUCGGCAGGGGAGACUGGAAUUCCUGGUGUAGCGGUGAAAUGCGCAGAUAUCAAGAGGAAUACCUGAGGUGAAGACGGGUUGCUAGGCCGACACUGACGCUGAAGCGCGAAAGCCAGGGGAGCAAACGGG